UGCAUAUCAAAAAAGCGGAGGAAAAGAAACCAACCGGGAUUGCCUUAGUAACGGCGAGUGAAGCGGCAAAAGCUCAAAUUUGAAAUCUGGUACCUUCGGUGCCCGAGUUGUAAUUUGGAGAGGGCAACUUUGGGGCCGUUCCUUGUCUAUGUUCCUUGGAACAGGACGUCAUAGAGGGUGAGAAUCCCGUGUGGCGAGGAGUGCGGUUCUUUGUAAAGUGCCUUCGAAGAGUCGAGUUGUUUGGGAAUGCAGCUCUAAGUGGGUGGUAAAUUCCAUCUAAAGCUAAAUAUUGGCGAGAGACCGAUAGCGAACAAGUACAGUGAUGGAAAGAUGAAAAGAACUUUGAAAAGAGAGUGAAAAAGUACGUGAAAUUGUUGAAAGGGAAGGGCAUUUGAUCAGACAUGGUGUUUUGUGCCCUCUGCUCCUUGUGGGUAGGGGAAUCUCGCAUUUCACUGGGCCAGCAUCAGUUUUGGUGGCAGGAUAAAUCCAUAGGAAUGUAGCUUGCCUCGGUAAGUAUUAUAGCCUGUGGGAAUACUGCCAGCUGGGACUGAGGACUGCGACGUAAGUCAA
Molecule: ribosomal RNA, 570 nt
Filed under: Saccharomyces cerevisiae (brewer's yeast)
Lineage: Eukaryota; Fungi; Ascomycota; Saccharomycetes; Saccharomycetales; Saccharomycetaceae
Description: eukaryotic LSU rRNA
Rfam family: Eukaryotic large subunit ribosomal RNA
Source: RNAcentral